Long non-coding RNA from Oncorhynchus gorbuscha (pink salmon), 858 nucleotides. RefSeq lists it as uncharacterized. The record is from RefSeq and is a predicted model, not a curated record. NCBI's taxonomy places the organism in Eukaryota, Metazoa, Chordata, Actinopteri, Salmoniformes, Salmonidae. The transcript has 3 exons.
AUGUUUUAUUUUAACGAUUCUUUCUCGGUGAUAUGCCCAUUAUCUUUCAUAUUUUUCCAAAACCGUUUAGCAAGCAAUUAUUAUCGACGUUUCUCAACUUCAAACCACAGUGCCGGGAAUUGUAGUUCACAUACAGCCAAUCGUGGGCGAAGCUCACCUGCUACGCCCACUGCUGAAAACCCUAAGCAUAAUAAGGGUUUUCAAGAAUUAAUACCAGUGAAGAAGCAGGCUCACCACCUGUUAUUGAAACCAGUCUUACAUAUUAGUGUGUCAAAGACGGGCUACCCUGCCGCCCCAUGGUGGAUCUGUGGGAGCUGUCAUGUAUCUUCAUCUAUGAGAACCACAAGUUUGGCAUGGGGUGUCUGUAGAGGUCAUCUGCUAGCACCGAGUACUUCGAGAAGAGACUAUAUUCCUGGCCUCAAGGUGGACGGCAUGGACAUUCUGUGUGUGAGGGAGUCCAAGUUUGCUGCAGACCACUGAAGAGCCUGGAAGCUGAACUGUGAUUGGUUGUAGAACUGGAGAAGUGGAGUUCUGAUUGGUGCAGAGAUGGGAGAGUUAUAACUGGUUUAAGAGCUUGAGGAGUGUUAAGAAUAAAUUUGUCUCAGACAAUCUAAUCCCAGAGGAUUGAAAAACUUCUAGUGUCACGUCAGUGUCUCUUCCCUGACAGAGGGAGGCUAUGUGACCAACAAAGAGAGACUAUUCCAGAGACUACUAAAGUACAGAACUGCAACUGUUCCCAGUUUUAAAUUAAAUAGUACCUGCAAAACACCUGUCUGGCCUUCUAGGCAGAGUUGCAAAGAAAAAGCCAUAUCUCAGACUUGCCAAUAGGGAGUAGUACACAGCGUUGUACGGGGUGUU